ACCCCGCCCCUCCCUUGCUUAGUCGCUCGGCUGGCCCGGCUCACCUUCGGGGUGAAGGCUACCAGCGAGCGUUAUAGCAGACGACUUUAAUAAAUGCAGGCGGCAGCAGGAACUCUGGGAACUUGGGUGCCCUUGCCUGGCAGUAAGGGUUGAAUUAUCCGGAUCUGAAAUACUUUACAGAGCCGAGGGGUGAUAGGCUCUGCAAAAGCACUUUUUGCCCCUCUCCUUUAUGCCAAUACUCGCUGACUGUGCACACAAGUCAUAUUCAGUAUUAAAUACAAACCGGUCUGUAAUUCAAUGGCUCUAGCAAGACGCCUCUGAGAGGGCCAGGUGGCGGGUGCAAGUUGCUCAUUAACCCUUUAGAGUCGCAGUUUGCAGAUCUGAGUUAGAUCCCCGGCUUUGAGGUCCUUCAGUUGCCCUCCUCCCCCACCUCCCCCCGCCACUGCGAGAAAAAUGUGCAAAGAGAAGGAAAUUUGCACAUCAAACGAGGGGCAAUCGCGGCGGUAGAUGAACUUGAUUAGGCAGACGCGUGAGAUCAAAGUGGCCGGGACCAAAGCGGACAGGGUCCAACGUGCCAGCACUGCCAAGAGAAGGCCUUUUGUACUCAGGUUAAAUAAGAACAUCCUGCAAGGAGUCUGUUCUUUUAUGCAGCCUAAAGAUCAAGUAAUAAUCAUUGACACUGAUACUGAGCAUGUCGAUUUUGAAGAGACUAGCAUUUCCUGGUAAUGAAGUGGAGUAUAUAUCCAUAUAUUUCUGUUUUCUGGAUGAGAAGACUAACCUAACUAAGUAGGAACCUUGAAGAAUCAUGUUCUUCCUAGGAAUUACAAAUCCCCCGAUUCCAUGUCUAACAUAAUUUCUACUGGCCUCUUUGCUUCUCAUGCUUUAGUACCAGUGCUUCUGAAUUUGAAAGUCUUCAUGCAAAUUGCCCAGGUUUGCUGGCAGCUGUGUCUCAGAAAAAGCUGUCUUCAGCAAGGCAGAAGCAGGGCAUGCAAGUGCAAGUAGACCUCGCCUCCCCUCCCCUGCUGGCACACAUGUGUGCAUGCAACAUGAGCACAUUCCACAGCCCUGCUCCCAAUGAUGUGCAGUCUGCCACACUGCCACUACUGGGAAUGAAGGAGCUGGACUUGGAGAUCUCUCUCACCUCUGAAGUUGUGUAAGUGAAGUAUACUGACCCAGUGUGACCACGCUGCUAUUCGAAGACUUACUCAAAGUUUUCAAACAGACUAACCAUGUGGGACUGUGAUUUAGCAAGGAAAACAGCCAGAAUAAACAUGUCAGUGUCUCCGUUUUAUGGUGGCUUCAUGUGCAGCAUUGUGACCUAUACCUCGGAGUUUUUCUUAUACCAGAUGAAGCUUGUUCUAUAGUCUUCACAAGGACAUAACACUUGUCAUAAGUAAAUGUUUCUAUUCUCUUGAUAUCAUUCCGAUUAUAUCAAAACGUGCUUUGAAACAACAAGCAGUAGAAUCACUUGGUAUAAUCUUGUCCUCAGUUGACAUGUUUACUUAUUUUUAUCCAGCCUAUGUUUGAAGUCCAACAUGAGCUCAUUUCUCAUGCUGGGGUGGAAUGUAUGAAGGGAUCCAAUUCUUUUGCAUCUUUAGAGAUUAUCUCAUGAAGCAAGGUUCAAUUUAGAACUCUGAGAUCUAACACUGAUUACUUAACUUUACGAGGAAAUACACAAAAAAAUCUGAAUGUCCAGACAAAAGCUGGAAAAAAAAACUUAUCUGUAUCUGCUUCAUCCUUUAUAAAAUGGAAACCUACAAGUGUUUUCCUAAUAAAAUUGUAGUGAACCUGCACAAAGUGAGCAUCUCCAUCACAUUUGCUAUUACUAUUGUGGCUACUAUUAUUAUUAUUGCCUAAAGUAUUGUCUAAGAUGAACACAGAUUUAGAGAUACUGCUACACUAAAUAGCACUUUCUACUAUUUAGUUAAUGUCUAUAUCAUAAUUAGUAUACAAUCAUAGUAGAUUUAUUCAGCAUGACACUAUCAUAAUAACUUAUUUCAAAGAGGUUUUGAAAUAUGGAUUUUAUAAUAUAAAAUAUUUUGAGAAUCCUUCACCCAGGGAAGUUUUAUUUAUAUAAUUAUUAUCUACUUCUAAUAGAUCCUAUCUGCCCACAAAUCCCCAAUAAUACCAGCUCUACUUCUGCUGCAGUAUAAUGCUGCAUUAGCAAGUUCACCUCUAAUUUACUAGCUAACACACACCCUGGAGUCUCCUUAGAUAAUUCCCAAACCUCCUGCUUUCAUCUAACCAAAAUGAGUAUCUUUCGUUGUUGGUAAAUAUAUGAGUUUCAGACGACUACGGUGCAAGCUGGUGAGCCUUGCUUUUCUAAUUUAUGUUUUAAUUAAUUUCCUUUCCAACUUGCUCCAUUUUGUGCAUUCUUUUCCUCUCAUGUGUUUGCAAUACUUCCCAGGGAAUAACACCUACAUUUUGAAUUAUAGAUUUCUUGAAUGCAUCUUUUAGGUAAUUAAGGUGUUAACAAAGACAAGACUCAAGUAUGAUCCUUAAAGAAUUUCUUGGCCUGGCGCGGUGGCUCACGCCUGUAAUCCCAGGACUUUGGGAGGCUGAGGAGGGCGGAUCAUGAGGUCAGGAGAUCGAGACCAUCCUGGCUAACAUGGUGAAACCCCGUCUCUACUAAAAAAUACCAAAAAAAAUUAGCCAGGCGUGGUGGCGGGUGCCUGUAGUCCCAGCUACUCGGGGGGCUGAGGUGGGAGAAUGGCAUGAACCCAGGAGGCGGAGCUUGCAGUGAGCCGAGAUCGUGCCACUGCACUCCAACCUGGGCAACAGAGCGAGACUCCAUCUCAGGAAAAAAAAACAAAAAACAAAAAACAUUUUUUUGCAUGUUUAAUCAACCAUUACACACAUCACUAAUUGGGAUCAAUUUCCAUUUUUUCAGUUCUCAUUUGAACCAUGAAAAUCAUAGGGUUAGACUUUUUCCUGACUAUAUCCAAUUCAUAUAUUUUAACACAAAAUGUUCUUGGCAAAUAUCUGACUAUAAGUUUUUGAUUUAAAUGAUUCCAUUAGGAUAAUUAAUCCAUAAAUAUAAUUAAUUCAAAAUUGAUAAAAAUAUUUAAUUAAAAUUAAAAACUGAUUGUCAUUCGGACACUCUAAAAUUUGAAGUCAGUAAGAAUGGGCUUAAAAAUGUGAGGUAUUACUUAUAAGUGAUCACUAAAGUAAAUAAAAAUUAACAAAUUUAAAAGCCUUAGCUUAAUUUUGAAGAGUUGUAAAUAAGAAUGGCAGGUUUUUAAAAACACGCUUGUGUUUUGCAAUCUUCCAGUAAUAUAAUGAACCCAGCACACAUUGAUAAACUCUAUCUGUAUUUAUAGGUUGAAAAGAAGAUCAAGAAGUUUAGACAGAGACUUGGAUCAUCAACCAAUUCUAAUUCUGCUACUUAGAGAAAAAUCCAACUAACAAAAUUAUUAGGACCAACAUCACUAAGAAUGCUGGUUGAUAUCUUAUGCAUGCUCUUUGAUUAUAGAUAUAGUUUUGGUUAAUAAAUAUAUAAAAUGGGUAGCUAUGCUCAAAAGCAACACCUUCAUUUUGGUGCUAGUUGUCUUCUAAACAAACUAAUAUUAUUCGAGCUAAAGAGAAAAAAAAAAACAAAAACAGGAAACAUGAAAAGCAGUGGCAUUAAACCAGCUCACUUUGAGUUUUCUGGACAUUCCAUUUUGCAUACAUCUCUCUUUCCAUUUUCAUUUAUAUAGGAGUUAUGCCAAAAACACUAGUUUACCAAAUGAUGUGAUCUAUUUCUUUCUCAUCACAAAACCAUCUAAACAUUCAUUUCAGUAAAAUAUCUCUCAGGCAUUUAACUUAAGUGUUAAACUGGUACUUUCUCAGAGUUCAAUUUGAGGUGGAUAAGACCAUAGUAAUUCAAUACAGCAAGUGUCACUGUAAGGGAAGCCCUCAGGUGGUCUCCCUAAUUAUUUCAUACUAAUUAGCUCAGAUAGUAAAAGGUUCUGUUUUAUUACCUUGAUGCAAGUGGCUGAUGCUUUGGGACAGUUAAUUGUGCUACAUUUCAUUUUUUAAAUGAAAAUGUCAUUACCUGGAUAUAGCUUUUUAUUGUGCUUUAAUAUUGUCAAUAGGUAAAACAUUACAGGAAAAAAGAUUAUUUUUCAAAUUUCUUAGCAUUGAUAGCUAAAUUGAAAUUUACUUUCUAUUUUUUAAAUAUUGAACUUCAUUGAUCAAACACUGUUCUGGUAUUUAGCUUCACAUUGUUAAAACCAGAGACAAAGGCCACAUAAACGGAAACUUUAGCGAGAAAACAUUAGCUGUGUUUUACCUUACAUGGUGAAUAUGUAUUUAAUUUUCUCUUCACUACUUAAAUAACUCAAAUACUAAUUCCAGGGUGCUUUUUAAGUUCUUACUAAUCCUAAGUAUUUAGUUCUGUGAUCAUUUUUAUCUUUGAAUAACAGUCAUCAUUCUCCCUUCCUGCAUUGUCAUAACCGUCAUGUUUCCAUGGAAACUGUGGAGAAAGAAUAAAAUGGUAAAACACCUCCAUUUAGGUCUAAGUUGACAGGGUUGUUUUUUAUUAGGAGCUUCAAUUAUUUAGACAGAUAAGAAUAUGUGCAGUGGCCUAAUAAAUGAUAUAGAAUAAUAGUCGAUCUUCAAAAACAGGAAAUUAUGUUUCCAGCUAAUAGAACUUAGCAAUUUCUGUUAAGAACUAGUUAUUGGUGGUGAGUCUUGGGGGUGUUUUGUUUUCUUCUUUAUUUUUUAUUGUACUGUUUGAAUUUUCUGUUAUCAUGUAAAAUAAAACAACAAAAUAAAAAAUCUUUAAAAAGAACUAGUUAUUUAUUACAUUCUUAAUACAUACAUUUUGAUCUUUACCAAAUAUAAGAGACAAAAUAGCUACCUUUUAGAUAGACAUUUAAAAUAGAAAAAUAAUUAUUCAAUGCACAUAAAGGGAUUUAGAGAAAUCUUAUAAAAUCUACUUGGAGUUUCGUCCAAAUUAUUGUUUACUUCCCACAUUCUGCUCCUCUAAAAAUCAUACAUUUUAAAAAAGCAACCAAUUUUAACUUAAAUACAAGUUAAUUGUAUUUGAAUCUCUGAAGGGAUCCAGAGGAAACUGGUUAUAGUACUUGCUUCUAAAAAGGAAGAUUUGCCUUUUGCUUUCUUUGUAUAUGUUUUAAGUUAUUUGUUGAUGUUGUUUGUUAAACAAGGUAGUUAUUACUUACUUGAAAUGUAGGCUGUCCUUUGAAAUAAAGAUCCUAGUUAAUAAAAAUCCACAGUGUUAAAUGA
RNAcentral lists this long non-coding RNA (5229 nucleotides) under Homo sapiens (human). RNAcentral's name for it is "HSALNT0357892". Lineage: Eukaryota; Metazoa; Chordata; Mammalia; Primates; Hominidae. The record is from RNAcentral.